Molecule: small RNA, 107 nt
Filed under: Marmota monax (woodchuck)
Lineage: Eukaryota; Metazoa; Chordata; Mammalia; Rodentia; Sciuridae
Source: RNAcentral
ACUGGGUGUGGUGUUGAACACCUGUAAUCCCAGCAAUUCAGGAGGCUGAGGCAGGAGGAUCUCUAGUUCAAAGCCAGCCUCAGCAACUUAGCGAGACCCUGCCUCUA